This 72-nucleotide transfer RNA is filed under the name Candidatus Uhrbacteria bacterium RIFCSPHIGHO2_12_FULL_54_23. Its description in RNAcentral is "tRNA-Arg". It matches the Rfam family "tRNA". Rfam says of the family: Transfer RNA (tRNA) molecules are approximately 80 nucleotides in length. Their secondary structure includes four short double-helical elements and three loops (D, anti-codon, and T loops). Further hydrogen bonds mediate the characteristic L-shaped molecular structure. tRNAs have two regions of fundamental functional importance: the anti-codon, which is responsible for specific mRNA codon recognition, and the 3' end, to which the tRNAs corresponding amino acid is attached (by aminoacyl-tRNA synthetases). tRNAs cope with the degeneracy of the genetic code in two manners: having more than one tRNA (with a specific anti-codon) for a particular amino acid; and 'wobble' base-pairing, i.e. permitting non-standard base-pairing at the 3rd anti-codon position. Lineage: Bacteria; Candidatus Uhriibacteriota. RNAcentral also lists the same sequence under 1 other name. The record is from RNAcentral.
GCCCCUGUGGUGAAAUGGAUAUCACAACAGGCUUCGGACCUGUCAUUAGAGGUUCGACUCCUCUCGGGGGCA